UGAGCAAUCUGCCCUUCUCAUCGGAAUAAGCGUUGGAAACGACGUCUAAUGCCGAAUACGACCUCCUUUCGCAUGAUCGGAGGUGGAAAGCUCCGGCGGAGAAGGAUGAGCUCGCGGCCUAUCAGCUAGUUGGUGUGGGUAACGGCCCACCAAGGCGACGACGGGUAGCCGGCCUGAGAGGGUGACCGGCCACAUUGGGACUGAGACACGGCCCAGACUCCUACGGGAGGNAGCG
Molecule: ribosomal RNA, 235 nt
Filed under: uncultured bacterium
Lineage: Bacteria
Description: partial 16S ribosomal RNA
Rfam family: Bacterial small subunit ribosomal RNA
Source: RNAcentral